UACGGGGGGGGCAAGCGUUGUUCGGAAUUACUGGGCGUAAAGGGCUCGUAGGCGGCCAACUAAGUCCGACGUGAAAUCCCAAGGCUUAACCUUGGAACUGCGUCGGAUACUGGAUGGCUUGAAUUCGGGAGAGGGAUGCAGAAUUCCAGGUGUAGCAGUGAAAUGCGUAGAUAUCUGGAGGAAUACCGGUGGCGAAGGCGGCAUCCUGGACCGACAUUGACGCUGAGGAGCGAAAGCUAGGGGAGCAAACGGG
RNAcentral lists this ribosomal RNA (253 nucleotides) under uncultured bacterium. RNAcentral's name for it is "partial 16S ribosomal RNA". It matches the Rfam family "Bacterial small subunit ribosomal RNA", at positions 524 to 776 of the family's 1533-position model. The record is from RNAcentral.